AACUGGUGAGUAACACGUGGGUAACCUGCCCGGAAGCAGGGGAUAACACUUGGAAACAGGUGCUAAUACCGUAUAACAACUGAAACCGCAUGGUUUCAGUUUGAAAGAUGGUUUCGGCUAUCACUUCUGGAUGGACCCGCGGCGUAUUAGCUAGUUGGUGGAGUAAUGGUUCACCAAGGCAAUGAUACGUAGCCGACCUGAGAGGGUAAUCGGCCACAUUGGGACUGAGACACGGCCCAAACUCCUACGGGAGGCAGCAGUAGGGAAUCUUCCACAAUGGACGAAAGUCUGAUGGAGCAACGCCGCGUGAGUGAAGAAGGGUUUCGGCUCGUAAAACUCUGUUGUUGAAGAAGAACACAUCUGAGAGUAACUGUUCAGGUGUUGACGGUAUUUAACCAGAAAGCCACGGCUAACUACGUGCCAGCAGCCGCGGUAAUACGUAGGUGGCAAGCGUUGUCCGGAUUUAUUGGGCGUAAAGCGAGCGCAGGCGGUUUCUUAAGUCUGAUGUGAAAGCCUUCGGCUUAACCGGAGAAGUGCAUCGGAAACUGGGAGACUUGAGUGCAGAAGAGGACAGUGGAACUCCAUGUGUAGCGGUGAAAUGCGUAGAUAUAUGGAAGAAC
Molecule: ribosomal RNA, 620 nt
Filed under: uncultured bacterium
Lineage: Bacteria
Description: bacterial SSU rRNA
Rfam family: Bacterial small subunit ribosomal RNA
Source: RNAcentral